UGAAAAUGUAUCAAGAAAAGUUGAACUGCAACUCUCUCCAGCCUUUUGUGAACACUCAUACUUCCCACAGAAAACCAGCCAGAGAUCCAUCAUUUUAUGUCCCUGAUCCAAGUAAGAGUAUCAAAAGAAGAAAGAUAAUAGGAAAGGUUCAUUGGAUUUUCACAACGACGACAACUAUAACUACUAUGCAAGUGAGUCAACGGCUAUAUGAAUCCUCACUGACCGUGCUACUCCAUUUAAGCUUGUUUCACUCCUUUUGAUUGCAAGACG
This 270-nucleotide unclassified non-coding RNA is filed under the name Hevea brasiliensis (rubber tree). The record is from RNAcentral. Lineage: Eukaryota; Viridiplantae; Streptophyta; Magnoliopsida; Malpighiales; Euphorbiaceae.